GAUGCAAACAGUUAAACAGUUCUUUACAAAGUAAAUACAGCAAAAGCAUAAGAGAAACCACAAGAGCUGAAAAGAUGUAAGCAGUAGCGAUCGUUUGAAAUUAAUCGCUGUGACUGACCGCGUUAGCAGGAAACAUUUCACUGUACAACUACAACUAAUGACUUUGUUUCUGUUUCUUCGACUUCGCUGUUUGCAAAACAGAAAUUUGGGUGCUUUGCUAAUUUCUAUCAAGCAUUACAAACAUCAAAGGGAUAAACAUUGGAUUAAAUUUAUUUUUAGAUUAAUUAAUCUCAUAAGAAAUAUGAUGAAAAGAUAUCAUUUAACCAUUUACAGUGAUGGAUUUAAAUGCGUUGGCAUUUUUUGCCAACUCAAAAACCCGUUCUUAAUAAGUACUAAUUUACAUAAUUUUGAAACCAAAAUCAAUAUUUCUUUGAAUUAUAAUUACGAUUAAAUAGUGGUGAAGUUUUUGAAACAAAUUAUUAAAAUUAGUUCAUUUAAAUGCUUAAUCUUCAAAGGGUCACAAAACUUUAAGAGGUCAAAUGUUAAAAAUGCUUAAACAUUUUUUUGCAUUUUCUUUUAUAAAAGCUUUUUAAAAGCUAUAGCGGCAGAGUAGUUUUAAAAUGUCUAAGAUUUUUACUUUUAUAAUUUUCUCAUUCAAAUACAUACUUAUUUAUAUGCACAUGAUUUGUAUUUUUAUUUUUUCAAUUAAAUUCAUCAACAUCAAUAAACAUUUUUUAGUAUUAAUAAAUAUACAUAUGUUUAUUUAUAUUUGUCUACGUAUGCUUUUCAUAUAACAUUUCGAAUCAACAGUUUUAUUUGAUUUACACUUUUUUUAAAGCUUUUUUUGUGUCUGAAAUGUAUUCACAUUUCAGUGAAGCUUUUGCAGCGAUACGUGUAUGUUUGUUGUCCUUAAUCGCAAUUAAAGUAAAAAAGGUAUUAAACAUGCAACAACUGAAAUGUAAAUGUACAUUAUAUUUUAUUAGGGCGGCCAAUAUGACGUUUAAAUUUUGAAAAAAUAAAUAAAACCAAAACAAAACAGCCAAAAUCUACUGUAGUAAAUCAAGCGGUAUAAUUUAUGUUAUGUUAAUAAUAAUCCAAAAUACUUAUUUUGGCAAAAAAAACUUUAAAUAUUCUUUGAAAUAUGUUUGUUGCCAAUGAUUCGAUACCGCCUUAAUGUAAAUAAAUAUAUACUACUAUAUGUUUUUGACUGAUUUAAGAGCAAUAUAUUUUUUUGUUGAUAUCUAACUUUUUAAAAGCACAUUUGAAGUUAAUAUUUUAUAAGAAUGCGUGUACUUUAGUUCCGAAAACAAUUUUAUCAAAUGGUGUUAAACAAAAACAAUUAAAUAUAAAUAUAAGAAUUAACAAAAUUGUUAAAAUUAAAAUAAUAAAAAAUAUAAUAAACAAAAUAAAUGUUUAAAUAAAAAAACGUUUAUAUUAUUAUAAAUAUACCCAAAUGUGUUUGCAUUAAAACGUGUAUAUGUGCUGUGUGUGCGAUUAAUAAGAAUAAGAGAUUUUUAUUUUGCCUAAAAAUAGGCAAUUCAAUUUUUGUUUGUUAACUGUUUUGUAAAAUCAAUAAGAUACAUACUGACACACAGUGUAUUUGGUAACACACAAAUGAUUAGUUUUGGCUCACAACCGAAAAAUAAAAAAGCAAAAUAUGACAUAUGUAUAAAAAAAUAUUAAACAUAAUUGAAUAGUUAUUUUUUGUAAAAAAUACAUACAAAAAUACAUUUGUAAAUGUAAUAUAUAGUUGUAUUGUUUAAUUUAGUUGUAUGUAUGUCUACGUCAAUGAUAUAAAGAGAGAUUGAGUAAAAAAUGUAGUUACUUUCAGUCUAAAAUUUUACGGCAUACCAGAAUUUUUACAUGCAAUAUUCCCAAAAUAACUAGUUUUAAAUUCAAUUACGAUAAGAUUCAUAAUAAAAUUAAGUCUACUUAGUCUUUAAAGUAAAAAUAAUUAAAUAUUCCGUAACAAAUUUGAAACAAUAUUUUGUUCCUUAGUGCAUAUGUGUCGUUACUAUGUGUUAUUUGUGUGUGAGUGGUAUUGACUGCUAAGUUCUAAAACAAUGUUAAGGGUUAUUCGAUUAUUAACUGCAACUGCACACAUAAGUUCAAAUUGCACUGCUGUAGAAAAUUGUUGUAAAAUUUAGUAUAUUAAAACGAUUUUAUUUUUUAUUUUUUUUAUUCAGAAUUGGUUGACCAUUUUCUUACCAUCUACUAAAAAAAGCAAUGCUUUGCUGCAUGAAAAUUUGCCGCCAAAAAGUUUAGUUUUAAAAUAUAAAUUAAAGUUUAAAGUUUUAUCAAUAAGUAUUUAGUAUAUUCUGUAGUUUCCCAGUUUAUCAAAAGAUCAGUCCCAUACAUAAAAUUGAAAAAUUUGAUAAACCGAACAACAACUUUAUUUUGAUUGUUGUGAAAUUGUAAUAUUUGUUGUUGAAGAAUCUAGUUCCUUUUUCUGAAAAUUAAUUUUAUUUGCAAUUUUCACUGAUACAUCUUUUGAAUUGAAACUGUGAAUGAAUAAUGAAGUGUCCUUUCCAUGUUAGUUGUAAUUUUUAUCUAUGCAAAAAAUUUAUUAAGCAGUAAAGUUUAUUGGAGAGAAUAUUUUAUAAACAUUUGUCUAUACAAAAAUUUAAACAUUUUUCUAAAAAUUUAUACAAACAGUUUGUUGGCAGCUCUGCUAACAAAAUAAAUAGGGAGAAAGAGAAAUUCACACCAAAAAGCUUUUUAACUGUUGAAGUUUUCUGCGCAUGCAUGGAGAGUUGCCAGACGGUGAAUAUAUACCAAAAAGUAACAGUAAAUAUUUUAACAUUUGUUCAUUUCAAGAACCCCAAAAUGGAAGUACAGGUCGGGGAUUCGAACGAAUAUACAAAACUAAAACUUGAAUCUGACCCUGGGGAUAAACAAAGAAAUAUUUUGUUGUAAAAAAUUCUAUGGGGCUAAAACAAUUAAAACAUAGAAGAAUUUUUGUAAUAUUUAUUUUUAUAUAACCAAAGAUUACAUGCAGAAUCGCCCAGACCAAACCGUUAAAGUGAUGUUCUUAAUUCCAAAUAACCCAAACUUUUUAUAUUAUUUAAUUAUAUUAAUUAAUUAAUGCCAAAAAUUUCACAAAAUUAUGAGAUAAAAUUUUUGGACUUAUAGAAUUUAGUUGUUUAAGUAAAUUGAGAUAUGACUGGAACGGAAACAUAAUUUAGCAUAUUUCAAGAAUUUUUUUCUCAUGAUAAAAAAUUUAAUUAUAAGGAAAUGGUAUUAAUUUUUCCAUCCCUGCUAAAGAUUUAUCAGGAGACUUUUUGUUACAUGACAUUUAUACUCUCAAUUGUUUCCCCAUAAUCUAUAUGUAUGUCCACUUUCACAGUUGUAUAAAUUAUAGUACAUUUUGUAAAAUUUUAUGGUACUAAUAACGAAGAGUUGUCGAAUAAAAAUAAUUAAAAAAUCUUAACAAAUUUUAGGGCAGUUUCAUUAGCUUAUAAUUCAAAACUUUUAAUUUGCUUACAAUACAAUGGGUAUUAGCAAAUGAUACAAGUUUAUUCAUUGUUUGUAACCAAAAACUGUGAUGGCCAUUUAAGAUGUGCAUAAUUAUAUACAUAGAUUCAUUAUUUUUAUUGUUGCUGUUUUCCAAAGGUGUCUUAAAUUGUUUGUUAUUUUCCGUUUCCUUCUCAAUAAUUUUUGACAGAUAGGAAAAAAUAUGUUAAACUUUUAUAAAAAAUACACUGUGAGAGUAUGAGAUAAAUAGUUUGUAUGUGUGUUGAUAAGGGAGAAAGAGCGAGAGAUACAGAAAGAGUAUAAAAUACGGCAGAAAAGUGAAUACUCACUUAGCACACAAUAAACACAUUUACUGGACAUAUUAAAAUGAUGAUAGAUGGAUAAAUUAUUUUUAUUUAAUAUGUUUCAUUUUUCUGUCUUAAUUACACCUGCACUUGUUGUUUUACUUUUUUCAAUAUGGGAAUGUCUGUGUAUAAGUUUGUGUUUGAGUAAGUGUGCGAAUAUAUAUUUUUUUGAUGAUUGCGAAUGAGUGUAUAUGAGUGUACUAAGCCUGCAAUACACAAAAAAAAACGAUUGUUAUUUAUAGAAAACUCAUUGGAAAGUGAUAACAAUUAAAUAAAUUAUUUGCUCAAACAAAUAUAAAAAAUAAAACAUUCAAAUAAUUUAUAAAACAUACAAACAUUUUAUGUAAAACAGUAAAGAUGCAGUGAAAACAAAUAAAGUGUCAACAUUUUAAUCGCCUUUAAGGCGUGGCAUUAUGCAAAUAAAUAAAUUAAAUUAAAACAAACAUUACUUGACAGGACAAUCAUAAAAAUUAAAAAAUUAAAGUAAUUAUAUUAAAAAAGCGGUAAAGCUAGAAACAAAAAUAAAUUGUGUGAGCGUUUAUCACUGAAGCAACCAAAACCUGUAGCUGAAUUACACAGGGUAGUAAAUAUAAAAGGAAAAUGUUUUCAGUUGCAUAUAAUUUAUGUAUGUGGUAGUGUGUUAUGGAAGAAAAUAUGCAACGUUUUUUAAAAGGUCUCUAAAAAUUGAAGGUUACUAGUAGUACAGAUGACUACUGUUAAUGUAGAACAUGAUGAUGUUAAUAAAUCUGAAGCAAUAGAUUUGGAUUUAAAAAAUAUUGCUGCAAAACAACAGGUUGAGCGGCUGAUGCCUCCUCCCUCUUUCAGUUCCAUAGAGUUCUUAACGUCCUUGCCACCAACAUCUACAACAGCAGAAACAACAAGCUUAUCUAACGGCUCUGCAUCUUUAACUAGCCAUUGUCAUUCGAAUUUAUAUAAUAUUCUUCAGAAUAACUCAAAAUCCAGCCCUCUGUAUUCUUUUUUGACGUCACAGGUGGGUUGCAACGAUUUUUCUGGUUAUUUUUCGGGACUUUCAAAAAUACAUAAUACAACAACAUCCUCCGUAACGACAUCGUGGCCCUUGUCAUCUUCAAACUUGAAGUCUACAUUUUCCUCACAAACUAACCAAAAUAUUUUUGGCACAUCAAAUGGCGACUCUUUGUCUGCCAUGGCAGUUGCUAUAACUGAAGAUUCGCCUCUAGAUGUUGGUAUUGAUAGUUAUCGAAAAGAUUCACCCCCGGAAAUUAAUUUGGAAACCGAAGAAAACAUAGAGCAUAUGCUGGAAGAUGUUGUAGAAAAAGAAAGGGAAAAAUCCAACGAAGAAAUCAAUGAAACGAAUAUUGUACCAGUAAUAACGGAUAACUCAACAUGCAUUCCAAACACAUCCGCAUCGCAAGAUGGUCUUAAAAGUACCGUUAAUCGCACGAAAAGUCGUAGUUUAUUGCAUCGUUUGGCCUCAUUUGCGGCAGCUGCAAGUAAUAGCACAAAUUUCACAGUCAACACCCCCUCUCCCUGUGCCCCAAGUCGCCAGUUGGAGAAACUUGCUAAAAGAUCAUUUCGUCUCAGUUCCUCAGGUUUAAAACAAACUUCACUUUUAAUGGAGAUUCUUAAACUUAACACUAUAACAGAUGAGCAACAGCAGCAGCAAAAGCAGUUGACAGAUAAAGAGACAAGCAGAUCUAGCCUAUCGGCAGCCUAUCAUAUGUUGGCUUCUCAGCUGCUCUAUUCUCAGUUAGUUCAGCAAUCAUCUUCAACUUCACCUCUUCUUAUAUUAGAUUACAGUUCAAAAGCCAACAACAACAAUGAUGAAAAUUAUGAACACAUGGACGAAAUUGUACAGACUAAUGAUCAUCAGCAUGAAAAACAUGAGGAGACUGCAGUCGCAGUUGAAAACGACAACAACGACUUGGACUUAGAUGUCAAUAACGUAAAAACUGAGAAAAUUCCUAUAAACGAAACAUAUCUCAAGGUUCAACCGGCAUCACCUGCGUUAUCUUUUCUUGCCAACUCAUCUGUUUUUGAUGAUGUCGGCAGUAGCAAGAUCUUAGAUUUAUGGCAUGAACAGUUGAAGAUUUUAACUCAAGCCCACAUAUGUCUAGAACAAUUUUUGGAAAUAAAUCAAGAAAUGCAGGUUGUUUUUGAGACCCCCGCACUUCAAAAACCAAAUGGCAGCCAAGUCUGUAAUAAUUUGAAAGAUCAAAAGGGAUUUAUAGAGGCCAUUAUGGCAAAAUUGCACUAUGUUUUUAGGCAUUGUGAAGACUCACGGCAGUUAUAUUUAAGAACUAGUCAAGUAUCGGAAGAAGAUUCUAUAUCGGUAUCGCCUGCAAAUCAUCUCAAGUAUUUAUUGGAAGAUAUAUCUACACCAGACAUGAAACCCAAGGCUCAAGCAAAAACAGUUGACAGAAUUGAAUCGCAUGCUUCGUCUAUAAAGCGGGAACCAAAUGAUAUGAACGGUAAAGUGGAUACUGAAUCCAAAAACAAUAUUUUUAAAACUGUUUGGCAACCAUUCGCCAAUGAAACUCAACAAGAAGAAAUACAAAAAGAGAGUGAAACCAAACAUAGCAAAGAAGAGCUUGGCACUGGACAAUCAGAAAUCAAAUCACCCAUUUGCUUUUGGCACCCUAAAAACCUUGGCAUGAAUCGGAAUGAAAAGGCAGUAACAGCAGUUGAAAUAAUAUUAGAGUGUGCAGCACUUAACAAAACUGCGGGAUCAGAAGCAAACGCUACGUUAAAUUCACAAAAUAAAUCAAUGGAUACGGUCAACUCUACUAAUCCAUCACCAGUGCCGCAAACAAUUGCAACAUCAACACCAACCUCAACUUUGAAUUCUUGUAAUUCACCAUUUCUACAAACAACAUCUGCAUCAUCAUCUUCGUCAAAUAACUCGAUAAGUUCCAACCACCCGGAUGAAGCGCCAGCUUUAAAUAUGCUCAUGACAGAUUGUGGAACAUCUUCGUUUCUAACGGCUCUCAGUAAUCGAGCUCUUAUAAAUCUAGCAUCAAGUUCUUCGACUAUUGCAGCUAAUAUACCACCGAUUACCACCACCAGCCCCAGCUGUAAUCGACGUAAAACAAAGAAGCUAGAGACCAACACCAAUAAUAAUAGUACACUACCCACCUCUGUUGCCGGAUUAAAUACAACCUCGCCCUCCUAUGCUACAAGUCCGCCCAUUACAAAUGCCCAAAUAUAUGGUACACAUUCUACAUCAACAGCCGCUGCUGUAGCUGCUCUACAGGAAAAAGCUUUAAGUGAUAUGUUUAAAGUUCGCUUCAGUGCUUUAACUGCUGCAGCUGUAAUUAAUGCUGCUACAGCAUCAGCUAAUGCAGCAGCGACAGUUGCCACCACCUCCACAACUAAUAAUACCAAUAACUUGACGAACUCAGCGAUGAAUUCUGAAGGACCAUAUGAUCUCAGCAUUGGCAACAAAUUUAAGAAGAUGAAUCUGGAUAACAAAAAUUCAUCAAAUUUACAGGGAAACGAUAACUGUAAGGAUAACUCAUCUGAAAAAAAGAAACCACAUAUCAAAAAGCCUUUGAAUGCCUUUAUGUUAUACAUGAAGGAAAUGCGUGCCAAAGUAGUAGCAGAGUGCACAUUAAAGGAAUCAGCUGCCAUUAAUCAAAUUUUGGGUAGACGGUGGCAUGAACUGUCCCGCGAAGAACAAAGUAAAUAUUAUGAAAAAGCUCGGCAAGAACGUCAAUUACACAUGGAAUUGUAUCCGGGGUGGAGUGCACGGGACAACUAUGGUUAUGUUUCGAAAAAGAAAAAGCGUAAAAAAGACAGAUCGCCCGCGGAUUCGGGAGUGGCAUGCAUUGGGUCGGGAAGAACAAGCCAAGUAUUAUGAAUUGGCACGUCGAGAACGUCAAUUGCAUAUGCAAAUGUAUCCCGAUUGGAGCUCACGGACUAAUGCGUCACGAGGGAAGAAACGCAAGCGAAAACAAGACAACAAUGCAGACGGAGGCAAUAAUAUGAAGAAAUGUCGAGCUCGGUUCGGUUUGGAUCAACAAAAUCAGUGGUGUAAGCCUUGCAG
Molecule: unclassified non-coding RNA, 7842 nt
Filed under: Lucilia cuprina (Australian sheep blowfly)
Lineage: Eukaryota; Metazoa; Arthropoda; Insecta; Diptera; Calliphoridae
Description: protein pangolin, isoforms A/H/I/S, transcript variant X21
Source: RNAcentral